GGCAAGAUGGCCGAGCGGUCUAAGGCGCUAGGGUCAGGUCACCUGAUCACCUAUGUUCUUCGGAAUAUUCCUAGUCUCGAAAGGGGCGUGGGUUCGAAUCCCACUCUUGUCA
Molecule: transfer RNA, 112 nt
Filed under: Aspergillus ibericus CBS 121593
Lineage: Eukaryota; Fungi; Ascomycota; Eurotiomycetes; Eurotiales; Aspergillaceae
Rfam family: tRNA
About the family: Transfer RNA (tRNA) molecules are approximately 80 nucleotides in length. Their secondary structure includes four short double-helical elements and three loops (D, anti-codon, and T loops).
Source: Rfam by way of RNAcentral